RNAcentral lists this long non-coding RNA (238 nucleotides) under Brassica napus (rape). RNAcentral's name for it is "long non-coding RNA (BNAP_LNC005590)". Lineage: Eukaryota; Viridiplantae; Streptophyta; Magnoliopsida; Brassicales; Brassicaceae. The record is from RNAcentral.
UGAAUGUUUCUAAUUGUAUAGCUUUCUUAAGAUUUAAUGAAUUUACUGAAUUUUUGUUUUGUGAAAAUAUAAUUUUAUAUUUAAAAGCAUGCAUUUGAAAAGUGUAAUUCUAAUUAUCAAAAGUAUCAUAUUCUAAGAAUGAAACCUGAGCAUUACAAAAAUUAUUUUAUAUAUUUGGAUGCCGGUUUAUAAUGCAUGUGUAUUUUUAAAAUUAACAGGAUGCCUUUCCCUGUCUGUC